UCUUUUCAUGUCCCUCUGUUUCCAUCGUCCCUGUUACCCCUCUCUCUCUCUCCCUCCCUCUCCUCAAUUGAAUUGAAUGGAAACGACGAAGCGCUUGAUAGGCAUAUUGAGACCAAAAUUAAAGCAAGGAUUGUUACUAUGGCUUGAAGGUUUCAGGGAAGCUUGCUGUCUUCACAGGGUUGUUUUUCUCUGCUCCAGGUCAAGAAUGCUGUUGGUUCGAACUGGGCAGUGUUUUCUUUUGAAUGGUUUUAUUUUCUUAGGAAGCAUACUUGUUUUAAAAUCAGUGGUCAUCCCAACAUUACUAUGGAUAUUACCUAAUCAAUGCUCAGAAGUUUCUUCUCAAGGACCGUGCUCGUUUGACAGUGUUUCAAAACUUUACUCGUCUUUGCGCCUUGGACUCGUACAACUCUUUUAUGUGUUCUGGUUCUAUCCGCUGUACAUAUUUAGCUUCAUUCUGAGCACAAUUUGGUACAAUGAUAUUGCUAAGUAUGGUUUUGCGGCAAUGGGAAAAAACGGGCAUGAUAUACUGGAACCCUCAAGUCAGAAUGAGGUCAAGACCACAGAAAAUACAGCCUUGAAGGACAAGCCUGCAGGUCUAGGAGGGGUUAUGAUUGGAAUUGGAGAGCAAGUGUAUUCUAUACUUCUUUUGACCUUCUUUUUUCUAGAGGUUUAUGCAACGGGAUUUAUACCACAUAUAGGAAAGGCACUCAAUUUUGUACUCCUUUCAUGGAUGUAUGCUUACUACUGUUUCGAGUACAAAUGGAAUUUAUCUGAAGUGGCUCUGGACAGAAGGCUAGAUUUCUUUGAAUCUAACUGGGCCUUUUUUGCUGGUUUUGGAAGCCCUUGUGUUUUGGCUAUUUUCUUCUUCUCUCCUCUUGUGAGCUAUGGUGUUAUGGCCAUUCUGUUUCCUCUGUUUGUUUUGGCUGCGACAGGUUCAGGGGCUGAGCAACUUAUUUUUUCACAAAGAAGAAAAUGGAAAGGUGUGGGAUUGGGAAGGCUUCCAAUAUUUUAUGCAGCGGAUACAUUAUCGAUGCGGGUUUUAUCUCUCUUGCCCUUGGAUACUCGAGAUCAGAUGGGAGACAAUAAGGCACUCUAAGAAGUUCUGGCAUAAUUCUUCCACAAUGUGGCAGUUCUUCUAUGAUGUGACAACAAAAUAUUGUAAAUCAACGUUUACAGAAAUCAACUGAAUGACUGGAGGACUCUUAUGGCAUCAUAGUUAAGAGGGAUCAUAUUAUAUCUUUUGUGGGUAGGAGGAAGCUGUUGUUACUAUAUCUAUAGCAUUUUUAUCGACUCCGGUUGGCAAAUAUGUACAGUUCAUGGAUCAUUAUUAAUUACUCUAAUUCCUGUAUAACUUUGAUGUUCGAUUUUCAGAAAUUGUAAAGACUGCAACUGGAAACAGUACACAUUCAAGAAUAUUUCGUUGAUAAUUGAUGUAUUUGUACUGAGUUGUCGAA
RNA transcript from Populus trichocarpa (black cottonwood), 1454 nucleotides. It is a transcript of the gene named protein EI24 homolog, with no coding region annotated. The transcript is spliced from 12 exons. NCBI's taxonomy places the organism in Eukaryota, Viridiplantae, Streptophyta, Magnoliopsida, Malpighiales, Salicaceae. The record is from RefSeq and is a predicted model, not a curated record.